RNAcentral lists this unclassified non-coding RNA (370 nucleotides) under uncultured Hypocreales. RNAcentral describes it as "sequence contains ITS1". The stretch from base 1 to 105 matches the Rfam family "5.8S ribosomal RNA", at positions 50 to 154 of the family's 154-position model. Lineage: Eukaryota; Fungi; Ascomycota; Sordariomycetes; Hypocreales. The record is from RNAcentral.
GAAAUGCGAUACGUAAUGUGAAUUGCAGAAUACCGCGAAUCAUCGAGUCCUUGAACGCACAUGGCGCUGACGAGCCCGCUCGUCAGCACGCCUGUUUGAGUGUCGUUUCCCAUCUCUCCCCUCAAACGCGCCUGCGCGUCUUGCAGGGAAGGAAGCUGGGUGUUGGAUAUGCAGCAAUGCGAUCCAUCACUUAAAGGCGGGUGCCCGCCUUCCCGAGCGCCGGGCCACACGGUGUGCUGCAACAUGUCGCCGUGCCGUGCGCGAAUUCCGGGACUGCCGGGCAAGAGAACCACAGUGGAGGGAGGGACGACCUCUACUUUGUGUGUCACCAUGCGACCUCAAAUCAGGCGAGACCACCCGCUGAACUUAA